AUGUUCUCGUCGCAAUCUGCAAGCCGCAUCAACAACAUCAUAACAUCCCUCAUCAACGCGCAGAAGGGGAACCUCCCCGUCGCCUCCUACUUCGCCGCCAUGCGCGGCUACGCCAACGAGCUAGCCGCCGUGGGCAAGGCGAUCCCCGACGACGAACUCGCCUCCUACAUCAUCCACGUGCCCGACGCCGACUAUCAGCCCCGAGUCUCUGCCCUCGACGCUCGCGUCACCCAGGUAACCCUUGAUGAACUCUUUGCCAUGCUAUCCAACUUCGAUCAGCGCAUGGCUCAGUUCCAAGGAUCUGGAGGCGACGGCUUCAAAUCAUCCGCCAACGUUGAUGGGGUCAUGUACCUAGGGUAG
Molecule: ribosomal RNA, 360 nt
Filed under: Triticum aestivum (bread wheat)
Lineage: Eukaryota; Viridiplantae; Streptophyta; Magnoliopsida; Poales; Poaceae
Description: partial small subunit ribosomal RNA
Source: RNAcentral